GUGAACGCUGGCGGAAGGCCUAACACAUGCACGUCGAACGGCAGCACCGUAAGAGCUUGCUCUUACGGGUGGCGAGUGGCGGACGGGUGAGGAAUACAUCGGAAUCUACUUUUUCGUGGGGGAUAACGUAGGGAAACUUACGCUAAUACCGCAUACGACCUACGGGUGAAAGCAGGGGAUCUUCGGACCUUGCGCGAUUGAAUGAGCCGAUGUCGGAUUAGCUAGUUGGCGGGGUAAAGGCCCACCAAGGCGACGAUCCGUAGCUGGUCUGAGAGGAUGAUCAGCCACACUGGAACUGAGACACGGUCCAGACUCCUACGGGAGGCAGCAGUGGGGAAUAUUGGACAAUGGGCGCAAGCCUGAUCCAGCCAUACCGCGUGGGUGAAGAAGGCCUUCGGGUUGUAAAGCCCUUUUGUUGGGAAAGAAAAGCAGCAGGUUAAUACCCCGCUGUUCUGACGGUACCCAAAGAAUAAGCACCGGCUAAAUUCGUG
This 491-nucleotide ribosomal RNA is filed under the name uncultured bacterium. RNAcentral's name for it is "partial 16S ribosomal RNA". It matches the Rfam family "Bacterial small subunit ribosomal RNA", at positions 29 to 507 of the family's 1533-position model. The record is from RNAcentral.